Long non-coding RNA from Erpetoichthys calabaricus (reedfish), 924 nucleotides. RefSeq lists it as uncharacterized. Lineage: Eukaryota; Metazoa; Chordata; Cladistia; Polypteriformes; Polypteridae. The record is from RefSeq and is a predicted model, not a curated record. The transcript is spliced from 3 exons.
CUUGAACUUUAAAUGCACCCACCAGAGACUCAGUUAACCUUGCCUGCCAGUCCAGGACACGCCUCGUCUAGGGAGGUUAUCAGGUAACAUAAUUAGAUAGACAUUUCAUCUAUCCAGUCAAAAUCCUGGAUGUCUGGAUUGGUCCUCCCUAAGGGAGGUGUCAGAAAGUGAAAGCCCGCCUUUCAGGAGCUGCCAGAAUGUACGGUGGCUGAAAGCCGAGGCCCAAUCUGAAAAAUCCUUGCUCAGCUACGAGACGUCAAGGACAGCUACAAUGCGAGUUGAGGAGCUCCAGAAAUGUAAAAAGUUACACAGACUGGAGGCAUAAACAGCUGGGAUUGAUCCCAUUUAUAAAAUUCCACAAAUCCAGAUCGGAUGACCGGAAGUUCCAAUGACGUCACUUCUGGGUCACAGUUUCCUGGCCCCAAUCCUUAUCAUCUGGCUCUUCCUUAAGGGGCACCACCACCCCUUUGUGUCAUUCGUAAUUUUGUCUCCAGUCUGAAAAGACCUCAUUUGAUUAUCAACUGUUUUUUGCAUUUUUUUCCAUCAGUUAUAUGGGGUUCACCUUCAAGGUGCCCCAACUCUUUUAUCUUGUCUUGUCUCCUGUUUUUCCGGUCUGGAUUAGGCGGAUUAGAAGAUGACAUGAUAUUGUACAUUUUCAUACUUGUUCUGUCUCUCUCUCUCUCUGUCUUGAAUGAAUGAGCGCAUCAUUGUGGAGAAAAUGACAUCCGACACAGAGGCACAGUGGAUUUAUGCUGCAUGCUGUGCACAGAAAGCCGUGAUGUGCAUGUGGUGGUGUGUGUCCAAAGUGGUGAGAGCAUUUGCUUAGAAACUUAUGAAUUUUUUAUUUCUGGAAUUAUCUAUUUUGGGCCAUGGUAAAGUGGAUAACUGAAACCGUGGAAACCAAAUCUGUGGUUUUACUGUAAA